UUUUCAUCCUUGAUGUUUGUGUUACCAUAGCUACAGUCUGAUGCUAUGAUUUGAAUCUUUUUUAGGCCCCAUACAACCUAAGGCCAUCCCUGACUCCACUUCUACUGCCAUCAGUUUCUUACCAUUUAGAAUAACUCUUGGAAAUGUGUUUAUUUGUGAAGCAACUGUUACUCAAUAGAGAGUGUAAUUUGAAAGUUGUGGGCUCCUACCCUGCCAUAUGUUGACGUGCCUCUGGGCAAAUGACUUAACCCAAAGUUGUGUAUCUAUCUGUCCAUCUUCAUUUAAUUUAACAAUGGAUGGAUCCAGUGGGUAGAGUAGUCAUCUCAUCAGAAGAUUGUGUGAUCAAUUUGAGCUUAAUCCUGUCACAUGUUGAUGUGCCCCUUGGCAAGGCACCUAACCCCAAGUUGGCUACCGAUCAGCAUAUCAGUGUGUGGAUAUGUGUGACUGGGAGAGUGUGACUGUAGAUCAAAGUGAUUUAAGUGGUCCAUAUGUCUAGAAAAACGGUAUAAAAACUGAGUCCCUUCACCAUUCAGUCUGGUUAUGGAUGAAUGUGAUUAUCUCUUUAUCUUAUUUUAAUAAACCGCUUUUUUCAACAGAGACAGACCUUUGAAACAAAAUGAAAAACAAAAUAUUUGCACCUGACCGAGGAGAGAUGAAGCUCAAUCUUUUUCUGCUCAUUCUGUUGGGUCAGUGUUGUGUAAUGUUUUGUCAUCUGUAUGAGUAUCACUAUGUUAAUGAGGAAAAGACCUGGACUGAAGCUCAGCAGUACUGCAGAGAGAAUCACACGGACCUGGCAACAGUGUCUGACAUGGAAGGCCUGAAGAGACUCCUCAAUAAAUCACCAGCAAUGACAGAAGCUUGGAUUGGUCUGUAUAAUCAAACAGAUGGUAUCAGGAGAUGGUACUGGUCUCUGCCGGAAGUGGAGUUCAUUGAAGAUGAGACAGAGUGGAACAACAAUGAGCCAAAUGAUCUCAAUACUGAAAACUGUGGGAGUCUUUUAAAAAGUCUAAAGUAGAAUGACAUUUCCUGUAGGCGACGUGGACAUUUUCUCUGCUAUGAUGAACGAAAUACUUCAGAGAAAUUCUAUCUGAUUAAACAAAAGAAGACCUGGUUUGAGGCUCAGAGUUACUGCAGAGAGAAUCACACAGACCUGCCCAGUGGGCUGGAUCAGCUCCAGGAUGUAAAGACUGAAGAAUGUUUUGAGCUCUACAGACGAUAAAUUUGUGUUUAUGGGUCUGUUCAGAGACUCCCGGAGGUGGUCAGAUGGAAGCAGUUUCUCUUUCAGACACUGGAGCAAAGAGUUUAAUGAUGAACAAUACAACAGUGGUCAAUGUGCCAUGACUGUGUUUGAUGAUGAAGGCAGAUGGAAGACUGAGAACUGUGCUGUCAGAAAACCCUUCAUCUGUUAUGAUGAAAAACUGAUCCUGAUCAAAAAAAACAAAACCUGGGAGGAAGCCUUGUACUACUGCAGACAUCACCACCAUGACCUGGUCACCAUCACCAACCUGGAUGAGCAGAGAUGGGUCCAGGAGAAAGCCAAGAAGGCCUCCACUGAUUACGUCUGGA
This is a long non-coding RNA of Fundulus heteroclitus (mummichog), 1566 nucleotides long. RefSeq lists it as uncharacterized. The record is from RefSeq and is a predicted model, not a curated record. The transcript is spliced from 4 exons. NCBI's taxonomy places the organism in Eukaryota, Metazoa, Chordata, Actinopteri, Cyprinodontiformes, Fundulidae.